RNAcentral lists this ribosomal RNA (1957 nucleotides) under Alphaproteobacteria bacterium. Its description in RNAcentral is "partial 23S ribosomal RNA". It matches the Rfam family "Bacterial large subunit ribosomal RNA", at positions 1 to 2095 of the family's 2925-position model. Lineage: Bacteria; Pseudomonadati; Pseudomonadota; Alphaproteobacteria. The record is from RNAcentral.
GAUCAAGCGUCAAAAGGGCAUCCGGGGGAUGUCUUGGCGGUAAGAGGCGAUGAAAGACGUGGCACUCUGCGAUAAGCACCGGGGAGGCGAGAGCACCCUUUGAUCCGGUGAUUUCUGAAUGGGGAAACCCAUCUCCGAGAUGUUGGAUAAUUCGAGCGCUUCGGCGCUCGACCUGUCUAACAUUUCACUAGUGAGAUAUUUUAACCUGAAUACAUAGGGUUAAAAAGCAAACCCAGGGAAUUGAAACAUCUAAGUACCUGGAGGAAAGGACAUCAAUUGAGACUCCGUUAGUAGUGGCGAGCGAACGCGGACCAGGCCUGGUCUGAAACAAGGCGAAGCAUCUGGGAAGGUGCGCCAUAGUGGGUGAUAGCCCCGUAGCCGUAAAAUGAAGACCUUUUAGAGUAGGGCGGGACACGUGAAAUCCUGUCUGAACAUGGGGGGACCACCCUCCAAGCCUAAGUACUCCUUACCGACCGAUAGUGAACAAGUACCGUGAGGGAAUGAUGAAAAGCACCCCGAUGAGGGGAGUGAAACAGAUCCUGAAACCGGAUGCCUACAAGCUGAUGGAGCCGCAAGGUGACAUCGUACCUUUUGUAUAAUGGGUCAGCGACUUAGUGUUGCGUGCAAGCUUAAGCCGUUAGGUGUAGGCACAGCGAAAGCGAGUCUUAAUAGGGCGAUUGAGUACGUAGCAUUAGACCCGAAGGCAAGUGAUCUAGGUAUGGGCAGGCUGAAGGUGCAGUAACAUGCACUGGAGGGCCGAACCGUUGAGCGUUGAAAAGCUCUCGGAUGACCUGUGCCUAGGGGUGAAAGGCCAAUCAAACUUGCUGAUAGCUGGUUCUCCGCGAAAACUAUUUAGGUAGUGCGUCACGAUGAGACUCUGGGGGGUAGAGCACUGAAUGGGCUAGGGGUCCUCACCGGAUUACCAAACCUUCUCAAACUCCGAAUACCCAGAAGUUAUGCGUGGCAGACACACGGCGGGUGCUAACGUCCGUCGUGAAGAGGGAAACAACCCAGACCGCCGAUUAAGGCCCCCAAGUUAUAGCUAAGUGCGAAACGAUGUGGAGGUGCUGAGACAAUCAGGAGGUUGGCUUAGAAGCAGCCAUCCUUUAAAGAAAGCGUAACAGCUCACUGAUCAAGCGCCUCUGCGCGGAAAAUGUAUCGGGACUAAAGUUAUACGCCGAAAUCGCGGGCUCAGUAAUGAGCGGUAGCGGAGCGUUCCGUAAGCCUGUGAAGGUGAACCGUGAGGUUUGCUGGAGGUAUCGGAAGUGAGAAUGCUGACAUGAGUAGCGACAAAGAGGGUGAGAGACCCUCUCGCCGAAAGACCAAGGGUUCCUGCGUAAAGUUAAUCUGCGCAGGGUUAGCCGGCCCCUAAGGCAAGGCCGAAAGGCGUAGUCGAUGGGAACCACGUUAAUAUUCGUGGGCCAAGGGAUGAGUGACGGAUUUCGAAAGUUGUAUCCUCUUAUUGGAUUGAGGAUGCGGCCUGGAAGUCCCUGGAAAUAGCCUCCCUAUUAGACCGUACCCGAAACCGACACAGGUGGUCAGGUAGAGCAUACCAAGGCGCUUGAGAGAACUAUGUUGAAGGAACUCGGCAAAUUACCUCCGUAACUUCGGGAGAAGGAGGCCUCACAUUGGGCAACCAGUGCUGAGGGGCACAAAACUGGGGGUUGCGACUGUUUAUCAAAAACACAGGGCUCUGCGAAGCCGUAAGGCGACGUAUAGGGUCUGACGCCUGCCCGGUGCCGGAAGGUUAAAAGGAGAUGUGCAAGCAUUGAAUUGAAGCCCCGGUGAACGGCGGCCGUAACUAUAACGGUCCUAAGGUAGCGAAAUUCCUUGUCGGGUAAGUUCCGACCUGCACGAAUGGCGUAACGACUUCCCCACUGUCUCCAACAUAGACUCAGCGAAAUUGAAUUCCCCGUGAAGAUGCGGGGUACCCGCGGUCAGACGGAAAGACCCCGUG